GAGAAAUUUACGGGGAGUUGAGCUGGCCGAAAGGCAUGUGCUCGCUUCCUAAAUUAUCUUAUCCAUACACCUGUGCACCUUUGGGGAGAAUGCUAGUUAAUAGAAUUCUCCUCGUUUUUACACAAACUCUUAUAAUAACAUUGAACGUGAUCUAGUGCCGCAAGGCCUUAAUCAAAUAUA
This 180-nucleotide unclassified non-coding RNA is filed under the name uncultured fungus. Its description in RNAcentral is "sequence contains ITS1". Lineage: Eukaryota; Fungi. The record is from RNAcentral.